AUGCCGGCCACGCACCCGACAGCGGACUCGGCACUCCAGGUACCCCAGCUUCUGGGGCUGGCCCAGUGGCAGCAAGGGGCAUGCCGCCUGGGCCACUUCCCCACUACAGACUCCCGGGGUCCCAGCCGGAGGUCGGCAGUGCUGACCCAGCCCCGGUCCCGCCCCACAGCCUCCACCCAGGCCCCGGCCGUCUUCCCCUUGGUCUCCUGCUGCGAAGGCACCAGCACCGCCGCCCUCUCCGUGACACUGGGAUGCCUGGUCAGGGACUACUUCCCAGGCCCAGUGACCGUGACCUGGGAUGUGGGGACCCUGACCAAGAACACUGUGACCUUCCCUGCCACCCUCCACUCGACCUCCAACCUCUACACCACCAUCAGCCAGGUGACCGCUUCGGGCGAGUGGGCCACACAGAAGUUCACCUGCCAGGUGGAGCACCCCGGGUCCGCCGCCGUCAGCAGGAGCUUUCGUGUGUGCGCCACGAACUACACCCAGCCCACCGUGAAGCUUUUACACUCGUCCUGCGACCCCAGUGGCGACACCCAUGCCACCGUCCAGCUCCUCUGCCUCAUCUCUGACUUCACCCCAGGUGACAUUGAGGUCACCUGGCUGGUGGACGGGCAGAAGGCCGAGAACGUGUUCCCAUACAUCAGCCCCCACAAGCAGGAGGGCAAGCUAGCCUCCGCCCACAGCCAGCUUAACAUCACCCAAGGCCAGUGGGUGUCCCAAAGCACCUACACCUGCCGGGUCAACUACCUAGGCUUCAUCAUCGAGGACCAUGCCCGCAGCUGCCCAGAGUCCGAGCCCCGCGGCGUGAGCGUCUACCUGAUCCCGCCCAGCCCCCUCGACUUGUACAUCCACAAGUCACCCAAGAUCACCUGCCUGGUGGUGGACCUGGCCAGCGUGGAUGGCAUGAGCCUGAAAUGGUCCCGGGAGGGCGAGGACCUUGUGGACAAGGCCACGGAGGUCCCGAAGCACCACUUCAACAUGACCUACACCGUCACGUCCACCCUGCCGGUGGACGCCGACGACUGGAUCGAGGGUGUGACCUACCGGUGCGAGGUGUCCCACCCGCACCUGCCCAGGGCCAUCGCACGCACCAUCGCCAAAACCCCCGGUAAGCGUGCCGCCCCCGAGGUCUACGUGUUCCUACCGCCCGAGGAGAGCCAGGGGACCAAGGACACGGUCACCCUCACCUGCCUGGUCCAGAACUUCUUCCCCGUGGACAUCUCGGUGCAGUGGCUGCGGAAUGACGCCCCGGUCCAGACGGACCAGCAGGCCACCACGCAGCCCCUCAAGGCCAACAGCUCCAGCCCCGCCUUCUUCGUCUUCAGCCGCCUGGAGGUCCGCAGGGCGGACUGGGAGAAGAGGGACAAGUUCACCUGCCAAGUGGUCCACGAGGCGCUGCCCGGCUCCAGGACUCUCAAGAAAUCCGUGUCCAAAGAGCCUGGUAACUGACACCCCCCGGGCUCCAUCCUGCGGGGGGAGGGCCCGCCAGAGCCUCUGUCCAGCGUUGUCAAUA
This is a non-coding RNA of Pteropus alecto (black flying fox), 1519 nucleotides long. NCBI's taxonomy places the organism in Eukaryota, Metazoa, Chordata, Mammalia, Chiroptera, Pteropodidae. The record is from the annotation of a RefSeq genome assembly.